UAGACGGAGAGUUUGAUCCUGGCUCAGGGUUAACGCUGGCGGCGCGCAUAACACAUGCAAGUCGAGCGAGGGCUUAUUUCCCGCAAGGGAGAUGAGUUCCUAGCGGCGAACGGGUGAGUAACACGUGGGCAACCUUUCCUAUCGCGGGGGAUAACACCGGGAAACCGAUGCUAAUACCGCAUGUCGUCACCGGCCGCAUGCCCGGUGAAGAAAGCAGCAAUGCACGAUGGGGUGGGCCCGCGGCCUAUCAGCUAGUCGGUGGGGUAACGGCCUACCGAGGCGAUGACGGGUAGCUGGUCUGAGAGGACGGCCAGCCACACGGGGACUGAG
This 330-nucleotide ribosomal RNA is filed under the name Candidatus Dormiibacterota bacterium. RNAcentral's name for it is "bacterial SSU rRNA". It matches the Rfam family "Bacterial small subunit ribosomal RNA", at positions 1 to 323 of the family's 1533-position model. The record is from RNAcentral. Lineage: Bacteria; Bacillati; Candidatus Dormiibacterota.